Molecule: ribosomal RNA, 403 nt
Filed under: uncultured bacterium
Lineage: Bacteria
Description: bacterial SSU rRNA
Rfam family: Bacterial small subunit ribosomal RNA
Source: RNAcentral
UGGGGAAUAUUGGACAAUGGGGGAAACCCUGAUCCAGCCAUGCCGCGUGAGUGAUGAAGGCCUUAGGGUUGUAAAGCUCUUUUACCAGGGAAGAUGAUGACGGUACCUGGAGAAUAAGCACCGGCUAACUUCGUGCCAGCAGCCGCGGUAAUACGAAGGGUGCUAGCGUUGUUCGGAAUCACUGGGCGUAAAGCGCGCGUAGGCGGCUUUCCAAGUCAGGGGUGAAAUCCUGGGGCUUAACCCCAGAAUUGCCUUUGAAACUGGAGAGCUAGAGUACUGGAGGGGUUGGCGGAAUUCCUAAUGUAGAGGUGAAAUUCGUAGAUAUUAGGAGGAACACCGGUGGCGAAGGCGGCCAACUGGACAGUAACUGACGCUCUGGCGCGAAAGCGCGGGGAUCAAACAG